This 484-nucleotide ribosomal RNA is filed under the name uncultured bacterium. RNAcentral describes it as "partial 16S ribosomal RNA". It matches the Rfam family "Bacterial small subunit ribosomal RNA", at positions 30 to 507 of the family's 1533-position model. The record is from RNAcentral.
AUUGAACGCUGGCGGAAUGCUUUACACAUGCAAGUCGAACGGCAGCACGGGGGCAACCCUGGUGGCGAGUGGCGAACGGGUGAGUAAUACAUCGGAACGUGCCCGGUCGUGGGGGAUAACGUAGCGAAAGUUACGCUAAUACCGCAUACGAUCUGAGGAUGAAAGCGGGGGACCUUCGGGCCUCGCGCGAUCGGAGCGGCCGAUGUCAGAUUAGGUAGUUGGUGGGGUAAAGGCCUACCAAGCCGACGAUCUGUAGCUGGUCUGAGAGGACGACCAGCCACACUGGGACUGAGACACGGCCCAGACUCCUACGGGAGGCAGCAGUGGGGAAUUUUGGACAAUGGGCGCAAGCCUGAUCCAGCCAUUCCGCGUGCAGGACGAAGGCCUUCGGGUUGUAAACCGCUUUUGUAUGGAACGAAAAGGCUCUGGCUAAUACCUGGGGCUCAUGACGGUACCGUAAGAAUAAGCACCGGCUAACUACGUG